GGAAUCUUCGGCAAUGGGGGCAACCCUGACGCAGCAACGCCGCGUGAAUGAAGAAGCCCUUCGGGGUGUAAAGUUCUGUCAGUGGGGACGAAACUUGACGGUACCCACAGAGGAAGCAUCGGCUAACUCCGUGCCAGCAGCCGCGGUAAUACGGGGGAUGCGAGCGUUGUCCGGAAUCAUUGGGCGUAAAGAGUUCGUAGGUUGUUUGUUAAGUUUGGUGUUAAAAGCGGAGGCUCAACUUCCGUAUGGCAUCGGAUACUGGCAGACUUGAAUGCGGUAGAGGUAAAGGGAAUUCCUGGUGUAGCGGUGAAAUGCGUAGAUAUCAGGAGGAACAUCGGUGGCGUAAGCGCUUUACUGGGCCGUAAUUGACACUGAGGAACGAAAGCCGGGGUAGCAAAUG
Molecule: ribosomal RNA, 400 nt
Filed under: uncultured bacterium
Lineage: Bacteria
Description: bacterial SSU rRNA
Rfam family: Bacterial small subunit ribosomal RNA
Source: RNAcentral